GUAUAACAGAACCUCCGAGUGAUUUUAACCAAGACUUACCCGUCAAGGUUACGUAACUUAUUGAUCCAAUCAUAUUGAUCAACGAAACA
RNAcentral lists this ribosomal RNA (89 nucleotides) under Crocidura hildegardeae (Hildegarde's Shrew). RNAcentral describes it as "partial large subunit ribosomal RNA". Lineage: Eukaryota; Metazoa; Chordata; Mammalia; Eulipotyphla; Soricidae. The record is from RNAcentral.